This 403-nucleotide long non-coding RNA is filed under the name Nicotiana tabacum (common tobacco). RNAcentral's name for it is "long non-coding RNA (NTAB_LNC015678)". The record is from RNAcentral. Lineage: Eukaryota; Viridiplantae; Streptophyta; Magnoliopsida; Solanales; Solanaceae.
UCUAUAUCCAGCAUCAUGAACCGCCGUUUACGAUUCCGAUCACCUCCUUCGAUCUCAUUCAUUUAUUUUCCAAUCGGCGGAGCUGCGGCUCUAUUCUCUAUAAAAUCGUCAUCCUUUAUCCGAUCCGCCACUCGCGGUUUUCUAAUUCGUAAGGUGAGUUUAGUUCACUCUAUAGCUCUAGAUCUUUCCUCUUCGAUUCGUAUAAGCAAUUUUUUUCGUAUUUGUAUUAUGUAUAUUGUAUUUGAGAUUUUGUGUUUGGUUUUUUUAGGGUUAAUAUGGAGCCUAUGGACAUCGUUGGUAAAAAUAAGGAGGAUGCUUCGCUUCCAAAAGGUUACUUUCUUCUCUUCUCCCUAAAUUCCAUGUUCUAUUUUGUUUUUGCAUCUUUGCGCCUCGAUUAAGCUAC